RNAcentral lists this ribosomal RNA (293 nucleotides) under uncultured microorganism. Its description in RNAcentral is "partial 16S ribosomal RNA". It matches the Rfam family "Bacterial small subunit ribosomal RNA", at positions 505 to 796 of the family's 1533-position model. The record is from RNAcentral.
GUGCCAGCAGCCGCGGUAAUACGUAGGGUGCAAGCGUUAAUCGGAAUUACUGGGCGUAAAGCGUGCGCAGGCGGUUUGCUAAGACCGAUGUGAAAUCCCCGGGCUCAACCUGGGAACUAGCAUUGGUGACUGGCAGGCUAGAGUAUGGCAGAGGGGGGUUUAAUUCCACGUGUAGCAGUGAAAUGCGUAGAGAUGUGGAGGAAUACCGAUGGCGAAGGCAGCCCCCUGGGCCAAUACUGACGCUCAUGCACGAAAGCGUGGGGAGCAAACAGGAUUAGAUACCCUGGUAGUCC